Non-coding RNA from Camellia sinensis, 1017 nucleotides. The record is from RefSeq and is a predicted model, not a curated record. Lineage: Eukaryota; Viridiplantae; Streptophyta; Magnoliopsida; Ericales; Theaceae.
UUAUUAAUUUAAAAGACGGGCAAAAUAAGAAAUUUACAUUAUUUUUGUACUUGAUUUUUGAAGAGGGACUAAUAUUUUGGGACAAUGAAAAAUGGAAUAUGGGACUAAUAUUUUGGAACGGAAGGAGUACAGAAAGAAUUUUUGCAGAAAUUGAAAUGAUUUGAAUUAUGGGACUUGCACAGUUAAUCCCCAGAUCUACGUACUCUGUUCAAUAAAUUUUAUUAACAAAUGAUUUUCAUGAUAAAGAAGUAUUUUAUAAAAAAAAAAAAAAAGAAAAAAGAAAAAAGAAGAAGAAUUAUUUAUUCAAAGAGCUCCACAUACAGCUCUCAGGUCAUGUUUGUUUUCAAAAUUUGCAAUAGGAUUAAGAGUCUCAUGGACUAUGAAACUCCUUUAAAGAGGGGGUUAGUAAUCCCAUGAGAGGUGGUAUUAAAAUCUAAUCCGAAGAAAUUGGAGGUGAAAAAACUAUUUUGUUCCUCAAUUUAUAAAACAACAAACACCUUCUAUAAAACAAGAAUUUUUAUGUAAUUUCAUAACUAACUAAAAUCACUCUAUAAUAUGCAAACAAACACAAUUUAUAUUAUAUUUGUAACCUAAUACCAUCCCACUAAUAAUCCCCCACCCAAAAAAAAACCUCAUAAACAAGAUGGUAGAAGUUGCUGAGGGGGAGGGAAGGAGGAGCCGCCAUGGUUGCAAAUGUAAGUCGUUAUGUAUUAUAUCAGUUGAUAUAUAAUUGAAUUUUAGAAUUCUGUUUUGGGUGAGGAGGUGCUAAAAUAAUAAUUGUUAAAAAAAAAAAAAAACAAACAAACAAACAAAUAAAAAAAAAAGAAAGGAUAAUCCCUGUAUUUUGUUUCGUAUAUUAUUUUGGUAUUUGCAAUUUUAAUUAGCUUGAUUUUGAUCAUUAAUUUUAAUUUUUUGUCAAUUUGGUUUAAUAGAUAAUACCAAAUAAGAUUUUUAAUAAAAACUAAUCAGCGAGUUACAAUUUUAUCUUUAAAAACAUGGCACGUAGUGCAUAUUUAA